GCAAUCCUCUGCUGACUUUGCUACGCUCUAUGAGGUAUGAGCCAUCCGAGGAGCUCCGAGUGGACAUGUAUAAGGAAGUUAUUUUUAGACGCUAUUAAUAUUUCGUACUCAUUUCAAUGAAAGCUGUGGAUCAAACUCCUUAACCAAAUAGUAUGGAUUUAGAUGCUUCAACACCUUUGCAAAAACUCGUUGAGAUCAUCAUAAAGGGCAAUUUGAGAGAGAGGGAAGUUAAAGUGAGAGAUAAACUCUGGCCAUGCGGCAUAUCGCUGGAAGGUGCAAUAAUGUCUCUUAUAAAGUCAGCUUUCAUGAAAACCCACGAGAGGGCACACGAUCUCUCAUGGUCACAAAAUAUUCUUUCUUUGUGGAAAUAUCCUGGACAUUCCGCUUCA
This is a long non-coding RNA of Saccostrea cuccullata (small rock oyster), 389 nucleotides long. RefSeq lists it as uncharacterized. The transcript is spliced from 3 exons. The record is from RefSeq and is a predicted model, not a curated record. Lineage: Eukaryota; Metazoa; Mollusca; Bivalvia; Ostreida; Ostreidae.